This 342-nucleotide ribosomal RNA is filed under the name Leptospira borgpetersenii serovar Ballum. RNAcentral describes it as "partial 23S ribosomal RNA". It matches the Rfam family "Bacterial large subunit ribosomal RNA", at positions 2545 to 2881 of the family's 2925-position model. Lineage: Bacteria; Pseudomonadati; Spirochaetota; Leptospiria; Leptospirales; Leptospiraceae. The record is from RNAcentral.
UCCUGGGGCUGAAGUAGGUCCCAAGGGUAUGGCUGUUCGCCAUUUAAAGUGGUACGCGAGCUGGGUUUAGAACGUCGUGAGACAGUUCGGUCCCUAUCUGCCGUGGGCGCUGGAGAAUUGAGGGGGGCUGCUCCCAGUACGAGAGGACCGGAGUGGACGCAUCACUGGUGUUCGGGUUGUCAUGCCAAUGGCACUGCCCGGUAGCUAAAUGCGGAAGAGAUAAGUGCUGAAAGCAUCUAAGCACGAAACUUGCCCCGAGAUGAGUUCUCCCUGAGACUAUAAGUCUCCUGAAGGAACGUUGAAGACGACGACGUUGAUAGGCCGGGUGUGUAAGCGCAGCGA